This is a long non-coding RNA of Pocillopora verrucosa, 343 nucleotides long. RefSeq lists it as uncharacterized. The record is from RefSeq and is a predicted model, not a curated record. Lineage: Eukaryota; Metazoa; Cnidaria; Anthozoa; Scleractinia; Pocilloporidae.
GCGGCGUAAGGGAUUCGAGCAAGAAUAGCCGCGGUUUAUUUCUUCAAUUACACAAUGUUUCUUCUGCGGACCUUCUUUGGGAUGAAAAAAAAAGUAGAAAAAGGAAAGCUAAUGUUUCUUCUGAUUAUUUUGCCGUGGAAAGGUUAAUCUCGAGGAGGACAUCACAUGGAACGGUUCAAUAUUUGGUGAAAUGGAAGGGAUACAGCGCGUUUCAUAAUAGUUGGGAAGAUGAAGAUAACUUGACUACCGAUCUUAUUAGAACUUAUGACAAGCCAAUUGUUGAUAAAGAGAGGCUAACUCGAAACGUUGAUAAUCUGAGAUUAUCAGUCCUCUUUAAAUUAAG